Long non-coding RNA from Manihot esculenta (cassava), 307 nucleotides. RefSeq lists it as uncharacterized. The record is from RefSeq and is a predicted model, not a curated record. NCBI's taxonomy places the organism in Eukaryota, Viridiplantae, Streptophyta, Magnoliopsida, Malpighiales, Euphorbiaceae. The transcript has 3 exons.
UCCACUAUCAAAUCCAAUCAGAAGCAAACAUCAUGGCUCGACGAUGCAAGUUGCGGAAAGGGAAUUCCAUCAAUAUUAACUUGGAAAAUGAGACUGAAAAUAAUGUUAACCAGAACUUUCAAGAAACUCAAGAGUUACACCAAAAUCAGGCUUCAAAUUUUCAAGGGAAUACUAGUCAGAAGACAAUGAGGUAUCAUUAUGAAGGCCAUUUUAUAUUUUCACCAAAUAGAAUAUAUGAAAAUGGUAGGUUCAUGGAGAAACCUAAUUUUGAUGUUGAUUUCAUCUCAUUUUUUGAUAUAUUGGAUGA